This 733-nucleotide ribosomal RNA is filed under the name uncultured bacterium. RNAcentral describes it as "bacterial SSU rRNA". It matches the Rfam family "Bacterial small subunit ribosomal RNA", at positions 62 to 792 of the family's 1533-position model. The record is from RNAcentral.
UCGAGGGGCAGCGCGGGUAGCAAUACCUGGCGGCGACCGGCGCAAGGGUGCGUAACGCGUGAGCAAUCUGCCCGUGUCAGGGGGAUAAGCGAUGGAAACGUCGUCUAAUACCGCAUAACAACGGUCACGGCAUCAUGACCGUUUGAAAGAUACGUCGGACACGGAUGAGCUCGCGAGACAUUAGCUGGUUGGCGGGGUAACGGCCCACCAAGGCUGCGAUGUCUAGGGGAACUGAGAGGUUGGUCCCCCACACUGGAACUGAGACACGGUCCAGACUCCUACGGGAGGCAGCAGUGAGGAAUAUUGGACAAUGGUCGGAAGACUGAUCCAGCCAUGCCGCGUGGAGGUUAAGGUCCUAUGGAUUGUAAACUCCUUUUGAGAGGGAGCAAUAAGUGUCACGCGUGACACGAUGAGAGUACCUUUCGAAUAAGCAUCGGCUAACUCCGUGCCAGCAGCCGCGGUAAUACGGAGGAUGCGAGCGUUAUCCGGAUUUAUUGGGUUUAAAGGGUGCGUAGGCGGUUUUGCAAGUCAGCGGUGAAACGCACGGGCUUAACCUGUGACCUGCCGUUGAAACUGCGGGACUGGAAUGCGGAUGCUGUGGGAGGAAUGUGUGGUGUAGCGGUGAAAUGCAUAGAUAUCACACAGAACACCGAUUGCGAAGGCAUCUCACAAAUCCGUGAUUGACGCUGAGGCACGAAAGUGUGGGGAUCAAACAGGAUUAGAUACCCUGGUA